RNAcentral lists this ribosomal RNA (253 nucleotides) under uncultured bacterium. RNAcentral's name for it is "partial 16S ribosomal RNA". It matches the Rfam family "Bacterial small subunit ribosomal RNA", at positions 524 to 776 of the family's 1533-position model. The record is from RNAcentral.
UACGUAGGGUGCAAGCGUUGUCCGGAUUUAUUGGGCGUAAAGAGCUCGUAGGCGGCUUGUCGCGUCGUCCGUGAAAACUUGGGGCUCAACCCCAAGCUUGCGGUCGAUACGGGCAGGCUAGAGUUCGGUAGGGGAGACUGGAAUUCCUGGUGUAGCGGUGAAAUGCGCAGAUAUCAGGAGGAACACCGGUGGCGAAGGCGGGUCUCUGGGCCGAUACUGACGCUGAGGAGCGAAAGCGUGGGGAGCGAACAGG